RNAcentral lists this long non-coding RNA (898 nucleotides) under Jatropha curcas. Its description in RNAcentral is "long non-coding RNA (JCUR_LNC002989)". The record is from RNAcentral. Lineage: Eukaryota; Viridiplantae; Streptophyta; Magnoliopsida; Malpighiales; Euphorbiaceae.
AUAGAAGCUUCAAUAAGUAAUACGUUUAUAAUUUCUAACUUUAUCACACAUAAGUAUUGUAAUUGCGGAACUAUCUAAAAAUUUAAAAUUUCCUUCAAUACAACUAAACAAAAUUAAUCAAGGUUUCAUUCUCAACAUUUCCUCUAAAUGUCAGUUGGCAAAGAGUCACCAGAUACUGGAAGAUUUGUAACCUGAAAAAAAAAAUAUUAAUGCAAUGAUGAGCGCCUAAACUCAAUGAAUAGGUUAAUUCAUAUACAUUCAUAUCACACAUAUCAUGUUCAUGGAUAGAUGCAUGAUCAAGUUAAGGUGUUUCAGGUCCAGGAUGUUACAACACUUUGUCGUACAAGCUAAUUGUAAUACUACUUUUAAUGUAUUUAAUUUUAUUUUUACAUAAUGAAGUGGUCUCAAACUGAAUUGAUAAUAGUAAUCAUUUUGGCUACAGUAUCAAUAUUACUUAUUGUCACUACCCAUGACCUUAGGCCGGACCAGCACUAUGACCUGGGUAGGCUUAAAGCCACCAAAGGCUGUAGUAAGCCUAAAAAUAUACUAAACAAACUUCCUGUUCAAUAGAAAUGGCCUCAAGCCCAAUAUCAUCAACAUUCAUAUAUCAUAAGUCUUGGGCUUGUUUGGCCCGUAUCAUCAUACUCAGUAACAAAUCAAUUUUCAAAUUUCUCUAGAGUCAUAUCAAUAUAUUACAUAAUAAAAGCCUCAAUAAGUAAUACGUUUAUAAUUUUUAACUUUAUCAUACAUAACUAUCGUAAUUGCGGAACAAUCUAAGAAUUUAAAAUUUCCUUUAAUACACUAAACAAAAUUAAUCAAGGUUUCAUUCUCAACAUUUCCUUUAGAUGUCAGGUGGCAAAGAGUCACAAGAUACUGAAAAACUUGUAAACUGAAAAAA